This 1374-nucleotide ribosomal RNA is filed under the name uncultured bacterium. RNAcentral's name for it is "bacterial SSU rRNA". It matches the Rfam family "Bacterial small subunit ribosomal RNA", at positions 28 to 1382 of the family's 1533-position model. The record is from RNAcentral.
GAUGAACGCUGGCGGUGUGCCUAAUACAUGCAAGUCGAGCGAACGGACGAGAAGCUUGCUUCUCUGAUGUUAGCGGCGGACGGGUGAGUAACACGUGGAUAACCUACCUAUAAGACUGGGAUAACUUCGGGAAACCGGAGCUAAUACCGGAUAAUAUUUUGAACCGCAUGGUUCAAAAGUGAAAGACGGUCUUGCUGUCACUUAUAGAUGGAUCCGCGCUGCAUUAGCUAGUUGGUAAGGUAACGGCUUACCAAGGCAACGAUGCAUAGCCGACCUGAGAGGGUGAUCGGCCACACUGGAACUGAGACACGGUCCAGACUCCUACGGGAGGCAGCAGUAGGGAAUCUUCCGCAAUGGGCGAAAGCCUGACGGAGCAACGCCGCGUGAGUGAUGAAGGUCUUCGGAUCGUAAAACUCUGUUAUUAGGGAAGAACAUAUGUGUAAGUAACUGUGCACAUCUUGACGGUACCUAAUCAGAAAGCCACGGCUAACUACGUGCCAGCAGCCGCGGUAAUACGUAGGUGGCAAGCGUUAUCCGGAAUUAUUGGGCGUAAAGCGCGCGUAGGCGGUUUUUUAAGUCUGAUGUGAAAGCCCACGGCUCAACCGUGGAGGGUCAUUGGAAACUGGAAAACUUGAGUGCAGAAGAGGAAAGUGGAAUUCCAUGUGUAGCGGUGAAAUGCGCAGAGAUAUGGAGGAACACCAGUGGCGAAGGCGACUUUCUGGUCUGUAACUGACGCUGAUGUGCGAAAGCGUGGGGAUCAAACAGGAUUAGAUACCCUGGUAGUCCACGCCGUAAACGAUGAGUGCUAAGUGUUAGGGGGUUUCCGCCCCUUAGUGCUGCAGCUAACGCAUUAAGCACUCCGCCUGGGGAGUACGACCGCAAGGUUGAAACUCAAAGGAAUUGACGGGGACCCGCACAAGCGGUGGAGCAUGUGGUUUAAUUCGAAGCAACGCGAAGAACCUUACCAAAUCUUGACAUCCUUUGACAACUCUAGAGAUAGAGCCUUCCCCUUCGGGGGACAAAGUGACAGGUGGUGCAUGGUUGUCGUCAGCUCGUGUCGUGAGAUGUUGGGUUAAGUCCCGCAACGAGCGCAACCCUUAAGCUUAGUUGCCAUCAUUAAGUUGGGCACUCUAAGUUGACUGCCGGUGACAAACCGGAGGAAGGUGGGGAUGACGUCAAAUCAUCAUGCCCCUUAUGAUUUGGGCUACACACGUGCUACAAUGGACAAUACAAAGGGCAGCGAAACCGCGAGGUCAAGCAAAUCCCAUAAAGUUGUUCUCAGUUCGGAUUGUAUUCUGCAACUCGACUACAUGAAGCUGGAAUCGCUAGUAAUCGUAAAUCAACAUGCUACGGUGAAUACGUUUCCCGGGUCUU